CUUCAUGAAGCCGGAAUUGCUAGUAAUGGCAGGUCAGCAUACUGCCGUGAAUACGUUCCCGGGCCUUGUACACACCGCCCGUCACACCAUGAGAGUUGGGAAUACCCGAAGCCUGUGAGCUAACUUUUAGAGGCAGCAGUCGAAGGUAGAAUCAAUGAUUGGGGUGAAGUCGUAACAAGGUAUC
RNAcentral lists this ribosomal RNA (184 nucleotides) under uncultured bacterium. RNAcentral's name for it is "partial 16S ribosomal RNA". It matches the Rfam family "Bacterial small subunit ribosomal RNA", at positions 1316 to 1500 of the family's 1533-position model. The record is from RNAcentral.